Molecule: ribosomal RNA, 433 nt
Filed under: uncultured bacterium
Lineage: Bacteria
Description: partial 16S ribosomal RNA
Rfam family: Bacterial small subunit ribosomal RNA
Source: RNAcentral
AACGAACGCUGGCGGCAUGCCUAACACAUGCAAGUCGAACGAGACCUUCGGGUCUAGUCGCGCACGGGUGCGUAACGCGGUGGAACCUGCCCUUAAGUUCGGAAUAACUCCCCGAAAGGGGUGCUAAUACCGGAGAAUGUCUUCCGACCAAAGAUUUAUCGCCUUUGGAUGGGCCCGCGUUGGAUUAGCUAGUUGGUAGGGUAAAAGCCUAUCAAGGGUACGAUCCAUAGCUGGUCAGAGAGGAUGAUCAGCCACACUGGGACUGAGACACGGCCCAGACUCCUACGGGAGGCAGCAGUGGGGAAUAUUGGACAACGGGCGAAAGCCUGAUGCAGCAAGGACGCGUGAGUGAUGAAGGCCGGAGGGUUGUAAAGCUCUUUUACCCGUGAUGAUAAUGACAGUACCGGGAGAAUAAGCUCCGGCUAACUCCGUG